Molecule: long non-coding RNA, 166 nt
Organism: Telopea speciosissima
Lineage: Eukaryota; Viridiplantae; Streptophyta; Magnoliopsida; Proteales; Proteaceae
Exons: 2
Source: RefSeq, a predicted model, not a curated record
AUAUGACAAUAAUAGACUUGAAAUGGGAAAGGUUGGCUAUGACAUAAGGCUGCUGGUGGUUCAGAGAGGUUUCCAUAUAUGAGUUUCACAUCUCCAAUUGUGACAUUCUCAUAAGACCCUUCAGCAUUCUCAGUACUCCAUACGCUUACAUGGUGCCCUAAUUUCU